GAUGAACGCUGGCGGCGUGCCUAAUACAUGCAAGUCGAGCGAACGGACGAGAAGCUUGCUUCUCUGAUGUUAGCGGCGGACGGGUGAGUAACACGUGGAUAACCUACCUAUAAGACUGGGAUAACUUCGGGAAACCGGAGCUAAUACCGGAUAAUAUUUUGAACCGCAUGGUUCAAAAGUGAAAGACGGUCUUGCUGUCACUUAUAGAUGGAUCCGCGCUGCAUUAGCUAGUUGGUAAGGUAACGGCUUACCAAGGCAACGAUGCAUAGCCGACCUGAGAGGGUGAUCGGCCACACUGGAACUGAGACACGGUCCAGACUCCUACGGGAGGCAGCAGUAGGGAAUCUUCCGCAAUGGGCGAAAGCCUGACGGAGCAACGCCGCGUGAGUGAUGAAGGUCUUCGGAUCGUAAAACUCUGUUAUUAGGGAAGAACAUAUGUGUAAGUAACUGUGCACAUCUUGACGGUACCUAAUCAGAAAGCCACGGCUAACUACGUGCCAGCAGCCGCGGUAAUACGUAGGUGGCAAGCGUUAUCCGGAAUUAUUGGGCGUAAAGCGCGCGUAGGCGGUUUUUUAAGUCUGAUGUGAAAGCCCACGGCUCAACCGUGGAGGGUCAUUGGAAACUGGAAAACUUGAGUGCAGAAGAGGAAAGUGGAAUUCCAUGUGUAGCGGUGAAAUGCGCAGAGGUAUGGAGGAACACCAGUGGCGAAGGCGACUUUCUGGUCUGUAACUGACGCUGAUGUGCGAAAGCGUGGGGAUCAAACAGGAUUAGAUACCCUGGUAGUCCACGCCGUAAACGAUGAGUGCUAAGUGUUAGGGGGUUUCCGCCCCUUAGUGCUGCAGCUAACGCAUUAAGCACUCCGCCUGGGGAGUACGACCGCAAGGUUGAAACUCAAAGGAAUUGACGGGGACCCGCACAAGCGGUGGAGCAUGUGGUUUAAUUCGAAGCAACGCGAAGAACCUUACCAAAUCUUGACAUCCUUUGACAACUCUAGAGAUAGAGCUUUCCCCUUCGGGGGACAAAGUGACAGGUGGUGCAUGGUUGUCGUCAGCUCGUGUCGUGAGAUGUCGGGUUAAGUCCCGCAACGAGCGCAACCCUUAAGCUUAGUUGCCAUCAUUAAGUUGGGCACUCUAAGUUGACUGCCGGUGACAAACCGGAGGAGGGUGGGGAUGACGUCAAAUCAUCAUGCCCCUUAUGAUUUGGGCUACACACGUGCUACAAUGGACAAUACAAAGGGCAGCGAAACCGUGAGGUCAAGCAAAUCCCAUAAAGUUGUUCUCAGUUCGGAUUGUAGUCUGCAACUCGACUACAUGAAGCUGGAAUCGCUAGCAAUCGUAGAUCAGCAUGCUACGGUGAAUACGUUCCCGGGUCU
This 1372-nucleotide ribosomal RNA is filed under the name uncultured bacterium. Its description in RNAcentral is "bacterial SSU rRNA". It matches the Rfam family "Bacterial small subunit ribosomal RNA", at positions 28 to 1381 of the family's 1533-position model. The record is from RNAcentral.